Molecule: ribosomal RNA, 229 nt
Filed under: uncultured bacterium
Lineage: Bacteria
Description: partial 16S ribosomal RNA
Rfam family: Bacterial small subunit ribosomal RNA
Source: RNAcentral
CAUGUAGGCGGCUCGCCAAGUCUGAUGUGAAAGCCCUGGGCUCAACCCAGGAAGUGCAUUGGAGACUGGCGAACUUGAGUACGGGAGAGGAAAGUGGAAUUUCGAGUGUAGGGGUGAAAUCCGUAGAUAUUCGAAGGAACACCAGUGGCGAAGGCGGCUUUCUGGACCGAUACUGACGCUGAGAUGCGAAAGCGUGGGGAGCAAACAGGAUUAGAUACCCUGGUAGUCC